RNAcentral lists this ribosomal RNA (645 nucleotides) under uncultured Bacteroidota bacterium. RNAcentral's name for it is "bacterial SSU rRNA". It matches the Rfam family "Bacterial small subunit ribosomal RNA", at positions 62 to 710 of the family's 1533-position model. The record is from RNAcentral. Lineage: Bacteria; Pseudomonadati; Bacteroidota.
UCGAGGGGUAUGGUAGCAAUGCCAGAGACCGGCGCACGGGUGCGUAACGCGUAUGCAAUCUGCCUUUCACAGAGGGAUAGCCCAGAGAAAUUUGGAUUAAUACCUCAUAGCAUUAUGAAGUGGCAUCACUUUAUAAUUAAAGUCACAACGGUGAAAGAUGAGCAUGCGUCCCAUUAGCUAGUUGGUAAGGUAACGGCUUACCAAGGCUACGAUGGGUAGGGGUCCUGAGAGGGAGAUCCCCCACACUGGUACUGAGACACGGACCAGACUCCUACGGGAGGCAGCAGUGAGGAAUAUUGGUCAAUGGGCGCAAGCCUGAACCAGCCAUGCCGCGUGCAGGAUGACGGUCCUAUGGAUUGUAAACUGCUUUUGUACGGGAAGAAACCUUAUCACGUGUGAUAAAUUGACGGUACCGUAAGAAUAAGGAUCGGCUAACUCCGUGCCAGCAGCCGCGGUAAUACGGAGGAUCCAAGCGUUAUCCGGAAUCAUUGGGUUUAAAGGGUCCGUAGGCGGUUUGGUAAGUCAGUGGUGAAAGCCCAUCGCUCAACGGUGGAACGGCCAUUGAUACUGCCAGACUUGAAUUAUUAGGAAGCAACUAGAAUAUGUAGUGUAGCGGUGAAAUGCUUAGAGAUUACAUGGAAUACC